Molecule: non-coding RNA, 174 nt
Organism: Camellia sinensis
Lineage: Eukaryota; Viridiplantae; Streptophyta; Magnoliopsida; Ericales; Theaceae
Source: RefSeq, a predicted model, not a curated record
UGAAGACACUGUAUGGAGGUGUCAUAACGUUGUAGAGGACACUGUCACACCGGACCGAUGGAGAUGCUAACCGGAAUCAAUGUCGGGACAGUUUUAUGUGGUCAUGUCGGACCGUUGGAAAAGCUAACCGGAAUCAAAUGUCGGGACAGUUUAUGGGGUCAUGUCGGACCGUUG